GACGAACGCUGGCGGCGUGCCUAAUACAUGCAAGUAGAACGCUGAAGGAGGAGCUUGCUUCUCUGGAUGAGUUGCGAACGGGUGAGUAACGCGUAGGUAACCUGCCUGGUAGCGGGGGAUAACUAUUGGAAACGAUAGCUAAUACCGCAUAAUAGUAGAUGUUGCAUGACAUUUGCUUAAAAGGUGCAAUUGCAUCACUACCAGAUGGACCUGCGUUGUAUUAGCUAGUUGGUGAGGUAACGGCUCACCAAGGCAACGAUACAUAGCCGACCUGAGAGGGGGAUCGGCCACACUGGGACUGAGACACGGCCCAGACUCCUACGGGAGGCAGCAGUAGGGAAUCUUCGGCAAUGGACGGAAGUCUGACCGAGCAACGCCGCGUGAGUGAAGAAGGUUUUCGGAUCGGAAAGCUCUGUUGUAAGAGAAGAACGAGUGUGAGAGUGGAAAGUUCACACUGUGACGGUAUCUUACCAGAAAGGGACGGCUAACUACGUG
Molecule: ribosomal RNA, 495 nt
Filed under: uncultured bacterium
Lineage: Bacteria
Description: partial 16S ribosomal RNA
Rfam family: Bacterial small subunit ribosomal RNA
Source: RNAcentral